GACGAACGCUGGCGGCGUGCUUAACACAUGCAAGUCGAACGGAAAGGCCCUGCUUUUGUGGGGUGCUCGAGUGGCGAACGGGUGAGUAACACGUGAGUAACCUGCCCUUGACUUUGGGAUAACUUCAGGAAACUGGGGCUAAUACCGGAUAGGAGCUCCUGCUGCAUGGUGGGGGUUGGAAAGUUUCGGCGGUUGGGGAUGGACUCGCGGCUUAUCAGCUUGUUGGUGGGGUAGUGGCUUACCAAGGCUUUGACGGGUAGCCGGCCUGAGAGGGUGACCGGCCACAUUGGGACUGCGAUACGGCGCAGACUCCUACGGGAGGCAGCAGUGGGGAAUAUUGCACAAUAGGCGGAAGCCUGAUGCAGCAACGCCGCGUGCGGGAUGACGGCCUUCGGGUUGUAAACCGCUUUCGCCUGUGACGAAGCGUGAGUGACGGUAAUGGGUAAAGAAGCACCGGCUAACUACGUG
This 468-nucleotide ribosomal RNA is filed under the name uncultured bacterium. RNAcentral describes it as "partial 16S ribosomal RNA". It matches the Rfam family "Bacterial small subunit ribosomal RNA", at positions 28 to 507 of the family's 1533-position model. The record is from RNAcentral.